GCGAAAGUGGCGGAAUUGGUAGACGCACUGGAUUUAGGUUCCAGCGCCGAAAGGCAUGGGGGUUCGAGUCCCUUCUUUCGCACCA
This 85-nucleotide transfer RNA is filed under the name Pseudomonadota bacterium. RNAcentral describes it as "tRNA-Leu". It matches the Rfam family "tRNA". From Rfam's summary of the family: Transfer RNA (tRNA) molecules are approximately 80 nucleotides in length. The record is from RNAcentral. Lineage: Bacteria; Pseudomonadati; Pseudomonadota.